RNAcentral lists this ribosomal RNA (441 nucleotides) under uncultured bacterium. Its description in RNAcentral is "bacterial SSU rRNA". It matches the Rfam family "Bacterial small subunit ribosomal RNA", at positions 338 to 795 of the family's 1533-position model. The record is from RNAcentral.
CCUANGGGAGGCUGCAGUCGAGAAUAUUCGACAAUGGGCGAAAGCCUGAUCGAGCGACGCCGCGUGCGGGAAGAAGGCCUUCGGGUCGUAAACCGCUUUUGCGUGGGAAAAAUUUUGAUGGUACCACGAGAAUAAGGGGUUGCUAACUCUGUGCCAGCAGCAGCGGUAAUACAGAGACCCCAAGCGUUAUCCGGAAUUACUGGGCGUAAAGAGCGAGUAGCCGGUUGUGUUAGUCUUACGUUAAAUCCCAAGGCUUAACUUUGGGACCGCGUAAGAAACGGCACGACUAGAGCAGCCGAGAGGCAAGCGGAACGUACGGUGUAGGGGUGAAAUCCAUUGAUAUCGUACGGAACACCAAAAGCGUAGGCAGCUUGCUAGCAGUUUGCUGACGGUCAAUCGCGAAAGCGUGGGGAUCAAAAAGGAUUAGAUACCCGUNUANUC